RNAcentral lists this ribosomal RNA (379 nucleotides) under uncultured eukaryote. RNAcentral's name for it is "partial 18S ribosomal RNA". It matches the Rfam family "Eukaryotic small subunit ribosomal RNA", at positions 592 to 976 of the family's 1831-position model. The record is from RNAcentral.
CAAUAGCGUAUAUUUAAGUUGUUGCAGUUAAAAAGCUCGUAGUUGGAUUUCGGAUGGGAUUUGCCGGUCCGUCGUUACGAUGUGCACUGGCCAGUCCUAUCUUGUUGUCGGGGACUAGCUCCUUGGAUUCACUUCCUGGGACUAGGAGCUGACGAGGUUACUUUGAGUAAAUUAGAGUGUUCAAAGCAAGCCUACGCUCUGAAUACAUUAGCAUGGUAUAACACGAUAGGACUCUGGCUUAUCUUGUUGGUCUGUGAGACCAGAGUAAUGAUUAAGAGGGACAGUCGGGGACAUUCGUAUUUCAUUGUCAGAGGUGAAAUUCUUGGAUUUAUGAAAGACGAACUUCUGCGAAAGCAUUUGUCAAGGAUGUUUUCAUUAA